Molecule: long non-coding RNA, 219 nt
Filed under: Homo sapiens (human)
Lineage: Eukaryota; Metazoa; Chordata; Mammalia; Primates; Hominidae
Description: non-protein coding lnc-SEL1L-17:1
Source: RNAcentral
CAAAAACUGAAAAAAACUUCCAAGUUUACAAAUAUUUUGGAAAUGUAAGGAGAUAGAUAAGAUUCGAAAGUUACAAUUUCUAUUGAAAACGUCAGUGCUCUAAAUUAUGGCACACAAGAUUUGAAUGAAUCAUAGAGUAGCCAAAUCAUGUAUCCAGAUCUUCUGGAAGACCUGUGGCAGUCUAUUGAAGAAGUGAGCAGUAGAAUAUGAACUCAAAGU